Molecule: long non-coding RNA, 784 nt
Organism: Poeciliopsis prolifica (blackstripe livebearer)
Lineage: Eukaryota; Metazoa; Chordata; Actinopteri; Cyprinodontiformes; Poeciliidae
Exons: 3
Source: RefSeq, a predicted model, not a curated record
ACCUGUCGGCCAGGUCCGCAACAAUGGAGGGCCCCGGUCACGGAGUGAAACCGAUGAUACCUUCCCACAGCUACGGCCCGAUGAACACAAAAAGAGGAAAAGAAUCUGCAGUGAAAAUCCCCCAGCAGCCCUGCAGCUCAGCUCCUGGAAAAACACACGCCAUAAACGUCAACAUGGUUUAUUUGGGAUUUUCAGUGGCAUACCGACACAAAGCGGCGGAUGACUUUGAGCGGGUGCAAAAGGACAAAUAAAAUUCUGAAAGAAAAUGUCCACAUUGCUGAUGUUGCUUCUCUGCUUCGGUUCACACGCCACAAUCCUGAGUGGCGUCACCGUCACAUGACCAAACCAAGACUACAUUCCUUCCACCCCUCCUGAAACUUACAAAACCACCAAGACGGAAAUAAACAGCAGUUAUUAUUAUCAUUGUCUCGGUUGCUCUAGUCUUAUUGUCAACGUCCUGCUGAAAGUAUCACGUCCACUCCAGAAUCAAGCCUUUAUCUUUUACUUAACUCCCUCUAAAAGUGACAAAAUGCAAGGGCUAUGAAUGCUUUCACAAGGUAUUAUAAGUUCGUUUUUUCCCAUCAGCUAAAAAAAUGAUUUGUGAUGCUCUGAUUAGCUCUGAUUUUUACUCCACAUUCAAACUCAGACCAAAUUUACAGCGUUGAACUUGGCACUGUUAGUGAAAAUGGCUGAACCCAAAGGGUACAUGAUGUUUUCAUCCGUUUAUGAGGCAGUGAUCGUGAACCGAGAGCCUCCUGCAGAACAUCUACGGCUCUGCCCCACA